AGUGAACGCUGGCGGUAGGCCUAACACAUGCAAGUCGAACGGCAGCACAGUAAGAGCUUGCUCUUACGGGUGGCGAGUGGCGGACGGGUGAGGAAUACAUCGGAAUCUACUUUUUCGUGGGGGAUAACGUAGGGAAACUUACGCUAAUACCGCAUACGACCUACGGGUGAAAGCAGGGGAUCUUCGGACCUUGCGCGAUUGAAUGAGCCGAUGUCGGAUUAGCUAGUUGGCGGGGUAAAGGCCCACCAAGGCAACGAUACGUAGCUGGUCUGAGAGGAUGAUCAGCCACACUGGAACUGAGACACGGUCCAGACUCCUACGGGAGGCAGCAGUGGGGAAUAUUGGACAAUGGGCGCAAGCCUGAUCCAGCCAUACCGCGUGAGUGAAGAAGGCCUUCGGGUUGUAAAGCCCUUUUGUUGGGAAAGAAAAGCAGCAGAUUAAUACCCCGCUGUUCUGACGGUACCCAAAGAAUAAGCACCGGCUAACUUCGUG
This 492-nucleotide ribosomal RNA is filed under the name uncultured bacterium. RNAcentral describes it as "partial 16S ribosomal RNA". It matches the Rfam family "Bacterial small subunit ribosomal RNA", at positions 29 to 507 of the family's 1533-position model. The record is from RNAcentral.